Molecule: long non-coding RNA, 1951 nt
Organism: Oncorhynchus tshawytscha (Chinook salmon)
Lineage: Eukaryota; Metazoa; Chordata; Actinopteri; Salmoniformes; Salmonidae
Source: Ensembl
UUGACCUUCUAGUAUGGAAAUAUUAUUUCAAAAAAUGAAGGAAAAACACAUUUUUAAUUGCACUGACCAUUUUUUUUUGUUACACUUCUCAAAAGGCACCGAAUUGGUGGAAUGACCCAACUGCUAUUUCAGCAGCAGUGCCAACAUUUGCUUUCUAAACAAAUAUUUUUUUUUAGGGGGGGGAGUGAUGAGCAAUGAAAAUGCUUAUUGGAUUUUGGAUACACGUCCAGAGCUACUACGACACAGCUCAGCACAGCAGCCGCAAGAGGCAGCAGCUCAACUUUUUUCCUGACUUGACUUUUGGCUGGUUUGGGUCAGAAUGGCUAACUACUGGUCUGUUCAGGUUUUCUGUGGUGUUUUAUCCACCAUGCUCUUGGCCAUGGGGGCACUGGAUGGUGGGAUGGAAUGUACAGACAAGGACAGAUUACUGACACAGAUAUCCAAAGAUCUGGACCCACCGUCGGAGUGUGUGCUAGGCUGCACUGUACUGACUUACAGAGCCAUGCUGGAGACACAAAAUAUACCUACUGUACGCUUCAAAGACUCUACAGCAGGUGAACAUGGAGAAUACUGCUGGUCCAGGAGAACGAAGUGUAGCCCCGGAGAGAGCCUGCUUCAUGCCUACAUCGUGUUACCUGUGGAUGUGUCACUGGUUAACGAGGAAACCCUUGGAUUGAAAGCUACUCUCCCCCACCAUAACAACAUACUAACUCCUCACGACGGUCCCACGCCACUUUCCAAACUCUGUGGUCUCCGCUUUGACAUCACAGACCAGUUCACCGUGACAAAGAGAUUGCCAAUGUUCUGUGUGCAGGUUGUCCCACAGCAGAGCACCUUGGAAAACGGAAUUCCUAUUAGAUGCCCACCUUUCUUGGUGACGAUGUGGCAGAGGCUGAAUAAGUAACCUACAAAGCAAUGGAGGGGGAUGAAAAGGACUUGUUUAGCCGACGACCAUCCAAAAUGGUUAAUGGCAUCAAGAUUCUCGCUACAAUUGUCACUGCUGCUGAAUGAAAUCCUUAGGGAGGACGACGCUGUAACAACUCACAGUAGGUUAUAUCAUGUUUAUGGAAAAGAAAAAAAGGAUGUCCGAUUCAAAUGGAAAGUCAGUUACAACAACGGAUUGUCCGAUGAAAUACCCAGAACUCUUUGACACAAGACUGUUGACUAAAUGGAGUACUUUCAACCAUGACUUGAAAUGGACUCAGUUUGGAAUGAGAAGAACGUGAGGUAAAUGUAUGGAAGGUGAAAAUUAACCGUUGUAUUUGAUUGAUAGAUAGAUAGAUAGAUAGAUAGAUAGAUAGAUAGAUAGAUAGAUAGAUAGAUAGAUAGAUAGAUAGAUAGAUAGAUAGAUAGAUAGAUAGAUAAGAUAGAUAGAUAGAUAGAUAGAUAGAUAGAUAGAUAGAUAGAUAGAUAGAUAGAUAGAUAGAUAGAUAGAUAGAUAGAUAGAUAGAUAGAUAGAUAGAUAGAUAGAUAGAUAGAUAGAUAGAUAGAUAGAUAACAAUAUCAUUGUUAAUAUGCUGUAUGGAUGUAUGCUUUUGGGUCGAUAGUUGAUUCUAGAUUGAGAUAAUAUUUCAAAUAAUAUGGAUUUGAGGGCUUUGUGUUCAUUUGUGCUCUAUUGUGUGGAGCAAACAUUUGAUGGCACAUAUGUAUAUAGAAUGUAUAAGCUUCUUAUAAGAAAUAUACGUGGCUGCUAAUUUAAGUGUGUGAACACCAGAAACUGUCCUAAAGCACAUUUAUUUCUAUUUAACUUUUAUUAUAUUUACUUUAACUUCUAUUUUUAUUUACUUUAAUUUGCUAUAACACCACACUAAUUGUUUUGAUGUAACCUCUGUAAACUGUGAGCUUUACUAGAAUGUUUUUCCAACCAUGUCAAGUAUCCACAACAUUAAAACAACUUCACAUGAUUGUGUACGUCUGUGAGCUUGCACAAAAAGAAGGCCUUAGUUUUAUC